Molecule: ribosomal RNA, 487 nt
Filed under: uncultured bacterium
Lineage: Bacteria
Description: bacterial SSU rRNA
Rfam family: Bacterial small subunit ribosomal RNA
Source: RNAcentral
ACUCAAAUGAAUUGACGGGGGCCCGCACAAGCAGCGGAGCGUGUGGUUUAAUUCGAUGCAACGCGAAGAACCUUACCAGGGUUUGACAUGCUUAAAGUAGAAACUCGAAAGAGGGACGACCUGUAUCCAGUCAGGAGUUUGCACAGGUGCUGCAUGGCUGUCGUCAGCUCGUGCCGUGAGGUGUUAGGUUAAGUCCUGCAACGAGCGCAACCCUCGUCGCUAGUUGUUUUCUCUAGCGAUACUGCCCGUAUAACGUGGAGGAAGGUGGGGAUGACGUCAAGUCAGCAUGGCCCUUACAUCCUGGGCUACACACACGCUACAAUGGGUGAUACAACAGGUUGCGAUAGAGUAAUCUGGAGCCAAUCCCUAAAAUCAUCCUCAGUACGGAUUGCAGGCUGCAACUGCCUGCAUGAAGUUGGAGUUGCUAGUAAACGCAGGUCAGCACACUGCGUUGAAUACGUUCUCGGGCCUUGUACACACCGCCCGU